AAAUGACAUCCUUACCUUUUUGUACCUCCUGUUAUGAACCCCUGGUAUUUUAGUUAGGUUUAAGGACCAAUGGUUAGUAAUAAGAAUAUUGUGUAAAUUAUAGUUUAUAUAUAUAUUGCACAGGCAAAAAGGAAUGCGCUGAGUUAACCCUUUUUACCUAUCCGGCGGUUGGUACGACGUCAAGAACGACGUACGACGGCAGUCGGGAUCGGUAGAACCUCCGUAAAUGUACGUUUCUCUAUUCGUAAUAACAGUUGAUUUCUUAAAUUUAAAAUAUAGUAGUAAUAUUAUUCAAUAAUUAGUGAGUGUUCACUUAAUUUAUUUAUUUGUUGUCGACUGUCAAAUCAGUCCAUAACACUCCCCACACCAAUUUCCAUUCAGAAAAGGUGCUACACUUAAAAAUCCGAGCAAGCCGUCUGGUAGAAAAAGUGUUUACAGAUAAAAAAAAAAAAAAAAACAUCUGUGUAAAACCAUAAGCUUCU
This is a non-coding RNA of Cinara cedri, 482 nucleotides long. The record is from the annotation of a GenBank genome assembly. NCBI's taxonomy places the organism in Eukaryota, Metazoa, Arthropoda, Insecta, Hemiptera, Aphididae.